CAGGGAAUAGUUUAAUUAGAAUGUCAGCUUUGGGUGCUGGUGGUGGGGUUGUUUACCUCUUCCUUGA
This 67-nucleotide transfer RNA is filed under the name Pusa hispida (ringed seal). RNAcentral describes it as "transfer RNA-Pro". RNAcentral also lists the same sequence under 3 other names. Lineage: Eukaryota; Metazoa; Chordata; Mammalia; Carnivora; Phocidae. The record is from RNAcentral.